GUAGUGGCGAACGGGUGAGUAACGCGUGAGCAACCUGCCUUCAGAGGGGGACAACGGUGGAAACGACCGCUAAUACCGCAUGAAGCAAGUCGGACCGCAUGAUCUGAUUGCCAAAGAUUUUAUCGCUGAAAGAUGGGCUCGCGUCUGAUUAGAUAGUUGGUGGGGUAACGGCUCACCAAGUCGACGAUCAGUAGCCGGACUGAGAGGUUGAACGGCCACAUUGGGACUGAGAUACGGCCCAGACUCCGUACGGGAGGCAGCAGGUGGGGAAUAUUGGGGACCAAGUCGGGGGAAACCCUGACCCAGCAACGCCGCGUGAAGGAAGAAGGUCUUUCGGGUUGUAAACUUCUUUACCAGGGACGAAGGACGUGACGGUACCUGGAGAAAAAGCCACGGCUAACUACGUGCCAGCCGCGGC
This 418-nucleotide ribosomal RNA is filed under the name uncultured bacterium. Its description in RNAcentral is "bacterial SSU rRNA". It matches the Rfam family "Bacterial small subunit ribosomal RNA", at positions 92 to 518 of the family's 1533-position model. The record is from RNAcentral.